RNAcentral lists this ribosomal RNA (1064 nucleotides) under uncultured fungus. RNAcentral's name for it is "eukaryotic LSU rRNA". The stretch from base 476 to 1064 matches the Rfam family "Eukaryotic large subunit ribosomal RNA", at positions 1 to 600 of the family's 3401-position model. The record is from RNAcentral. Lineage: Eukaryota; Fungi.
AGGGAUCAUUAUAGAGUUUUCUAAACUCCCAACCCAUGGUGAACUUACCUUUUGUUGCCUCGGCAGAAGUUAUAGGUCUUCUUAUAGCUGCUGCCGGUGGACCAUUAAACUCUCGUUAUUUUAUGUAAUCUGAGCGUCUUAUUUUAAUAAGUCAAAACUUUCAACAACGGAUCUCUUGGUUCUGGCAUCGAUGAAGAACGCAGCGAAAUGCGAUAAGUAAUGUGAAUUGCAGAAUUCAGUGAAUCAUCGAAUCUUUGAACGCACAUUGCGCCCAUUAGUAUUCUAGUGGGCAUGCCUGUUCGAGCGUCAUUUCAACCCUUAAGCCUAGCUUAGUGUUGGGAAUCUACUUCUCUUAGGAGUUGUAGUUCCUGAAAUACAACGGCGGAUUUGUAGUAUCCUCUGAGCGUAGUAAUUUUUUUCUCGCUUUUGUUAGGUGCUAUAACUCCCAGCCGCUAAACCCCCAAUUUUUUGUGGUUGACCUCGGAUCAGGUAGGAAUACCCGCUGAACUUAAGCAUAUCAAUAAGCGGAGGAAAAGAAACCAACAGGGAUUGCCUUAGUAACGGCGAGUGAAGCGGCAACAGCUCAAAUUUGAAAUCUGGCCCUUGGGUCCGAAUUGUAAUUUGUAGAGGAUGAUUUUGGUGCGGUAUCUUCCGAGUUCCUUGGAACAGGACGCCUUAGAGGGUGAGAGCCCCGUACGGUUGAAUGCCUAGCCUCUGUAAAUCUCCUUCGACGAGUCGAGUAGUUUGGGAAUGCUGCUCUAAAUGGGAGGUAAAUUUCUUCUAAAGCUAAAUAUUGGCCAGAGACCGAUAGCGCACAAGUAGAGUGAUCGAAAGAUGAAAAGCACUUUGAAAAGAGGGUUAAAUAGCACGUGAAAUUGUUGAAAGGGAAGGAUUUGUGACCAGACUUUUUCUGGGCGGAUCAUCCGGGGUUCUCUCCGGUGCACUUCGCCCAGUAAAGGCCAGCAUCGGUUUUCGGCGUGGGAUAAAAGCAGUAGGAAUGUGGCUCUCUACGGGGAGUGUUAUAGCCUAUUGUAUAAUACCGCGCUGGGGACCGAGGUUCGCGC